UACGUAGGGUGCGAGCGUUGUCCGGAAUUAUUGGGCGUAAAGGGCUCGUAGGCGGUUUGUCGCGUCGGGAGUGAAAACACUGGGCUUAACUCAGUGCCUGCUUCCGAUACGGGCAGACUAGAGGUAUGCAGGGGAGAACGGAAUUCCUGGUGUAGCGGUGAAAUGCGCAGAUAUCAGGAGGAACACCGGUGGCGAAGGCGGUUCUCUGGGCAUUACCUGACGCUGAGGAGCGAAAGUGUGGGGAGCGAACAGGAUUAGAUACCCUGGUAGUCCACACCGUAAACGUUGGGCGCUAGGUGUGGGGUCCAUUCCACGGAUUCCGUGCCGCAGCUAACGCAUUAAGCGCCCCGCCUGGGGAGUACGGCCGCAAGGCUAAA
RNAcentral lists this ribosomal RNA (377 nucleotides) under uncultured bacterium. RNAcentral describes it as "bacterial SSU rRNA". It matches the Rfam family "Bacterial small subunit ribosomal RNA", at positions 524 to 898 of the family's 1533-position model. The record is from RNAcentral.